Long non-coding RNA from Seriola dumerili (greater amberjack), 120 nucleotides. RefSeq lists it as uncharacterized. The record is from RefSeq and is a predicted model, not a curated record. NCBI's taxonomy places the organism in Eukaryota, Metazoa, Chordata, Actinopteri, Carangiformes, Carangidae. The transcript has 3 exons.
CCACAGGAUCAAGAUCCCACACAGACGGAAGAAAUACUUCAUUGUUAUGCAAAGUGUGUUUUAUCCAGAUGAUCGGAUCAAUGCCAGGUACGACAUUAAGGGCUGUGAGGUGAGUCGAUG